GACGAACGCUGGCGGCGUGCUUAACACAUGCAAGUCGAACGCUGAAGCUCAGCUUUUGUUGGGUGGAUGAGUGGCGAACGGGUGAGUAACACGUGAGUAACCUGCCUCCUUCUUUGGGAUAACGCCCGGAAACGGGUGCUAAUACUGGAUAUUCACUGGUCUUCGCAUGGGGGUUGGUGGAAAGGGUUUUUCUGGUGGGGGAUGGGCUCGCGGCCUAUCAGCUUGUUGGUGGGGUGAUGGCCUACCAAGGCUUUGACGGGUAGCCGGCCUGAGAGGGUGACCGGUCACAUUGGGACUGAGAUACGGCCCAGACUCCUACGGGAGGCAGCAGUGGGGAAUAUUGCACAAUGGGCGCAAGCCUGAUGCAGCGACGCCGCGUGAGGGAUGGAGGCCUUCGGGUUGUGAACCUCUUUCGCACAUGGUCAAGCCGCAACAAUGGUUGUGGUGAGGGUAGUGGGUAAAGAAGCGCCGGCUAACUACGUG
Molecule: ribosomal RNA, 483 nt
Filed under: uncultured bacterium
Lineage: Bacteria
Description: partial 16S ribosomal RNA
Rfam family: Bacterial small subunit ribosomal RNA
Source: RNAcentral